AUAUUCUUCCAUUUGGACACAAAAAGAUGCAUACAUCAACAUGCACCACAGCCGCACGAAAACUACGCACUUAGAUGUUCAACAGCUUACAUACUUAACCAAUUAUCUUAUUACACACAGCAGGAGACAAUAGUCCAGAGAAAAUCACCAACCCACCAUAUAAUAACGACUAUGGUAGAACAACAAGGAUCAGCCCAAGGUAAGAAUACUAGCUUACGAGCUCCAAUCAUUACGAUUUACGACCUCCCUUCAAGAUGACUUCGCAGAGACAAGCUUGUCAAUGAGCGUGGCAGCAUCUUCAACUGUCGCAAUUGCCUGCGCGCUCGUCUCCUCCACGCUGAUCUGGAACUCCUCCUCAAGGCCCAUCACAAUCUCGAC
RNAcentral lists this long non-coding RNA (378 nucleotides) under Triticum aestivum (bread wheat). Its description in RNAcentral is "long non-coding RNA (TAES_LNC014636)". Lineage: Eukaryota; Viridiplantae; Streptophyta; Magnoliopsida; Poales; Poaceae. The record is from RNAcentral.